GACUCUCGGCAACGGAUAUCUCGGCUCUCGCAUCGAUGAAGAACGUAGCGAAAUGCGAUACUUGGUGUGAAUUGCAGAAUCCCGUGAACCAUCGAGUCUUUGAACGCAAGUUGCGCCCGAAGCCACUAGGCCGAGGGCACGUCUGCCUGGGUGUCACGCAACGUCGCCAGCUCCCGAU
Molecule: ribosomal RNA, 178 nt
Filed under: Viguieranthus glaber
Lineage: Eukaryota; Viridiplantae; Streptophyta; Magnoliopsida; Fabales; Fabaceae
Description: 5.8S ribosomal RNA
Rfam family: 5.8S ribosomal RNA (bases 1-156)
About the family: 5.8S ribosomal RNA (5.8S rRNA) is a component of the large subunit of the eukaryotic ribosome.
Source: RNAcentral